RNAcentral lists this ribosomal RNA (1477 nucleotides) under uncultured Bordetella sp. Its description in RNAcentral is "partial 16S-23S ribosomal RNA intergenic spacer". It matches the Rfam family "Bacterial small subunit ribosomal RNA". Lineage: Bacteria; Pseudomonadati; Pseudomonadota; Betaproteobacteria; Burkholderiales; Alcaligenaceae. The record is from RNAcentral.
UUCACGAUCCUGGCUCAGAUUGAACGCUGGCAGGAUGCUUUACACAUGCAAGUCGAACAUGGCAGCACGGACUUCGGUCUGGUGGCAGUGGCGAACGGGUGGUAAUGUAUCGGAACCUGAAUGGCGGGGAUAACUGCGAAAGCGUAGCUAAUGCCACCAUACGCCCUUCGAAAGGCAGGGGACCUUCGGGCCUCGCACAAUGAAACGGCCGAUAUCGGAUUAGCUAGUUGGUGGAGGUAACGGCUCGCAAGGGCGACAAAAUCGUAGCUGGUUGAAGGACGGCCAAACACACUGGGACUGAGACACGGCCCAGACUCCUACAGGGAGGCAGCAACAGUGGGGAAUUUUGGACAAUGGGGAAACCUGAUCCAGCCAUCCCGCGUGUGCGAUGAAGGCCUUCGGGUUGUAAAGCACUUUUGGCAGAGGAAAGAAACGGCACGGGAUAAACCCGUGCAACUGACAAUACCUGCAGAAUAACAAGCUCUUCAUUCAGCAACUGGUAUCAAUAAGUGCAAGCAUUAAUCAGGAAUUACUGGAGCGUAAAGCGUGCACCGGGAAGCGGUUCGGAAAGAAAGAUGUGAAAUCCCAGAGCUUAACUUUGGAACUGCAUUUUUAACUACCGAAGGCUUCCGAAGUGUGUCAGAGGGAGAGUGGAAUUCCCGCGAUAUGUGCAGUGAAAUGCGUCGAUAUGGAGGAACACCGAUGGCGAAGGCAGCCUCCUACUCGGAUGCUACCAGCGCUCAUGCACGAAAAGCGUAGAGGAGCAAACAGGAUUAGAUACCCUGGUAGUCCACGCCCUAAACGAUGUCAACUAGCUGUUGGGGCCUUCAGCGGGCCUUGGUAUGCCAGCUAACUGCGUAGGAUUGACCGCCUGGGGAAAUGCAGUCGCAAGAUUAAAACUCAAAGGAAUUGACGAGGGACCCGCACAAGCAGUGGAUGAUGUGGAUUAAUUCGAUGCAACACAAAACCACCUACCCUUGACGUGUCUGGAGUCGAAGAAGAUUUGGGAGUGCUCGCAAGGGAACCGGAACACGGGUGCUGCAUGGCUGUCGUCAGCUCGUGUCGUGAGAUGUUGGGUUAGUCCCGCAACGAGCGCAACCCAUUCGUGGAUUGCUACGAAAGGCACUCUAAUGGUUUCGGUGACAAACCGGAAGGUGAGGAUGACGUCAAGUCCUCAUGGCCCAUACUGGGUAGGGCUACGUCAUACAAUGAAUCGGGACGGAAGGUCGCUCAACCUGCGAGGGGAGCCAAUCAGAAACUAUGAUCAUGAGUCCGGAUCGCAGUCUGCAACUCGACUGCGUGAAGUCGGAAUCCGCUGGUAAUCGCGAGGAUCAGCAUGUCGCGGUGAAUACGUUCCCAGGUCUUGUACACACCGUCACACCAUGGGAGGUGGGUUUUACCGGAAAUGGUAGCCUAACCGUAGGAGGGCGAUUACCACGGUAGGAUUCAUGACUGGUGAAGUCGUAGCGCAAGGUAG